Hibiscus syriacus is the source of this 221-nucleotide long non-coding RNA. RefSeq lists it as uncharacterized. Lineage: Eukaryota; Viridiplantae; Streptophyta; Magnoliopsida; Malvales; Malvaceae. The record is from RefSeq and is a predicted model, not a curated record. The transcript has 3 exons.
GGUUUAGGAGUCUUAUUCCAAGUUAUAUCAGAGAUUCUUCUGUUGCAGUAAUAGUCUAUGAUGUAGCUAAUAGGCAAUCGUUUUUGAAUACUUCUAAGUGGGUUGAGGAGGUACGUACGGAACGAGGCAGCGAUGUCAUUAUUGUCCUUGUUGGCAACAAAACCGAUCUAGUUGAUAAGAGGCAGGUUUCUAUAGAGGAAGGAUAACAAAGCUAAGGAACU